Molecule: ribosomal RNA, 831 nt
Filed under: Microbacterium sp. RKEM 1651
Lineage: Bacteria; Bacillati; Actinomycetota; Actinomycetes; Micrococcales; Microbacteriaceae
Description: bacterial SSU rRNA
Rfam family: Bacterial small subunit ribosomal RNA
Source: RNAcentral
GCUCAGGAUGAACGCUGGCGGCGUGCUUAACACAUGCAAGUCGAACGGUGAAGCCCCGCUUGCGGGGUGGAUCAGUGGCGAACGGGUGAGUAACACGUGAGCAACCUGCCCCUGACUCUGGGAUAAGCGCUGGAAACGGCGUCUAAUACUGGAUACGAACCGCGAAGGCAUCUUCAGUGGUUGGAAAGAUUUUUUGGUUGGGGAUGGGCUCGCGGCCUAUCAGCUUGUUGGUGAGGUAAUGGCUCACCAAGGCGUCGACGGGUAGCCGGCCUGAGAGGGUGACCGGCCACACUGGGACUGAGACACGGCCCAGACUCCUACGGGAGGCAGCAGUGGGGAAUAUUGCACAAUGGGCGGAAGCCUGAUGCAGCAACGCCGCGUGAGGGAUGACGGCCUUCGGGUUGUAAACCUCUUUUAGCAAGGAAGAAGCGUGAGUGACGGUACUUGCAGAAAAAGCGCCGGCUAACUACGUGCCAGCAGCCGCGGUAAUACGUAGGGCGCAAGCGUUAUCCGGAAUUAUUGGGCGUAAAGAGCUCGUAGGCGGUUUGUCGCGUCUGCUGUGAAAUCCCGAGGCUCAACCUCGGGCCUGCAGUGGGUACGGGCAGACUAGAGUGCGGUAGGGGAGAUUGGAAUUCCUGGUGUAGCGGUGGAAUGCGCAGAUAUCAGGAGGAACACCGAUGGCGAAGGCAGAUCUCUGGGCCGUAACUGACGCUGAGGAGCGAAAGGGUGGGGAGCAAACAGGCUUAGAUACCCUGGUAGUCCACCCCGUAAACGUUGGGAACUAGUUGUGGGGUCCUUUCCACGGAUUCCGUGACGCAGCUAACGCAUUAA